GCAGCAGCCGCGGUAAUACAGAGGGUGCGAGCGUUAAUCGGAUUUACUGGGCGUAAAGCGUGCGUAGGCGGCUUCUUAAGUCGGAUGUGAAAUCCCUGAGCUUAACUUAGGAAUUGCAUUCGAUACUGGGAAGCUAGAGUAUGGGAGAGGAUGGUAGAAUUCCAGGUGUAGCGGUGAAAUGCGUAGAGAUCUGGAGGAAUACCGAUGGCGAAGGCAGCCAUCUGGCCUAAUACUGACGCUGAGGUACGAAAGCAUGGGGAGCAAACAGGAUUAGAUACCCGCGUAGUCCCUGUCUCUUAUAC
RNAcentral lists this ribosomal RNA (302 nucleotides) under uncultured bacterium. RNAcentral describes it as "partial 16S ribosomal RNA". It matches the Rfam family "Bacterial small subunit ribosomal RNA", at positions 508 to 807 of the family's 1533-position model. The record is from RNAcentral.